RNAcentral lists this long non-coding RNA (1613 nucleotides) under Ananas comosus (pineapple). Its description in RNAcentral is "long non-coding RNA (ACOM_LNC032646)". The record is from RNAcentral. Lineage: Eukaryota; Viridiplantae; Streptophyta; Magnoliopsida; Poales; Bromeliaceae.
UUCAAAAUAUAAUAUUUUAUUUAAAAUCUAGUCUAGUAUUAAACUUUAGUUAAGCUAAUCUCAUUUACAUUAAAUCGAUGAGACUCAAAAAAAGCAAUCAACAAAGUUUCUUAAAUUCUUGUUAAAAAGAUAAAACUAAAAUCAAAUAUCCAUACGUCACAACAAUAAUAUCCACUCACUGUAGUAAUUAUAACAAAUCAAACUCUCUAACUGAAAGAAAUACAAAAAAUCAAAAAUAGUAUGAUAGCAAAAUCAAAAAUUGUAUAAACGAAUUCUGAUCGGCUCCACGAAUAUAUACUUGAACCUGCACAUUGAAUAACACUUCAAUUAGUUCAAAUUUGUGCAACAUCCUUGAUUUGCCAGAGCAUUAAAAAAGAAAAGUGUACUGCCUAUAUUUUUUAACAACAAAAUGCAACAGAAUUCCGCAAGAAAUUAAACAAAUCAUUUUCCGUCGAAAUUAGUACCAAGACAUUAAUAAUCCAAUUCGAAACUGCUGGGUUAAAUUGACACAAGAAAUACUGCACAAAGUAAUUAAGUUACACCAUUUAUAGUUCUUCGACUAUCAAAUGAAUAAUGUUGAACUGUUUUAAAUUAGUGUUUUUAUUCUUUUUAUAGUAUAAUUAGAAGUGUAAAAUCAAAGCAUUAGAAUGAAAAAUAUGUUGGCUUGUUGCGUGUAAAUUCAAUGGAUUCCUAACUUCAAAUUAGAAUUUUGAGUGUAAAGUUAAAAUUUUUUACAUUAUUUUAUUAUAACAAGAACAAACAAAUUAUAAUUCUUAUCUAUUAGUUUUUUUUUGACAAAAGGAUAAGAUAUGAGGGCACUAGAAAUAACUGGAGAAAUAGCCAAGUAUAACUGGAAACUUUGUGUUUGUUAGUAUGUGGCCGACAUAACAAGGCAUGCAUGUUUGUCUUAAAUAGAGCUCGUUAGGAUUUAUUCCUUUUAGAAGUAUAAUAUAAUUGUUUGUUGAAGCACUUCAACAACUUCCCAUCCAAUCAGAUCUUUCAUAGAAAUAGAUGAUAUUGAAAAGGUACUACAUAGCCUAGAUUGAGGCAUUCAUAGCAAGACAAAAAGACAAUAAACAAAAACGAGAAAAGAGGAAAAGACAAUAAAUGAAACUACGGAUCUCAUGAAGUGAGAACUCGAGAUCUUUUGUUUUGAAGUAAUACCUCUAUAAGGUAAUUCCGGAGGCGGUAAGGAGUGUGUUACUGGCCCUUGGUAGUCGAUCUCGUAGAUCUCCGGCACUGCAGUAUCUUGAACAGAAGCUGUCGCAUAUCAAUUCCUUAAAAUCAGCUAAUAUCCUUCUAAUCAUUAAUUGCUCAUGCAAAUUAUUUUACCAACAGAUGGAAACCACAAAGAGUUGUAAGAAAAGGAAUACAACAAAUAACAUACUGCUGAGAUCAAACCUGUAAGGUUUUUUUUUUUCUGACAAAACAAACCUGAAUAUACAGUUGACAGAGUCACUGCAAGAACCAAAAGGAUAAGAACAUAAACUUGAGAUCUUCGCGCCAUUUUCCACUACUCUCGACUUCGUAAUCGCAACGAGAGGAGGAAUCAAAUGAAUUAAGCCAUCAUCAUUAUUAAGAGAGCAAGGUAUAGCUAGCAUAUGAGGUUGGUG